CUACGGGUCGCAGCAGUGAGGAAUUUUGCGCAAUGGGGGAAACCCUGACGCAGCAACGCCGCGUGAGCGAAGAAGGCCUUCGGGUCGUAAAGCUCUGUCAAGUGGGAAAAAAAUUCUUUGAUCAAUAGUCAAAAGACUUGAUGGUACCACUGGAGGAAGCACCGGCUAACUCCGUGCCAGCAGCCGCGGUAAUACGGAGGGUGCAAGCGUUGUUCGGAUUUACUGGGCGUAAAGAGCGUGUAGGCGGUUUAGCAAGUCAGAUGUGAAAGCCCUGGGCUCAACCCGGGAAGUGCAUUUGAAACUGCUUCACUAGAGUAUGGGAGAGGAGAUUGGAAUUCCUGGUGUAGAGGUGAAAUUCGUAGAUAUCAGGAAGAACACCCGUGGCGAAGGCGAUUCUCUGGACCAAUACUGACGCUGAGACGCGAAAGCGUGGGGAGCAAACAGGAUUAGAUACCCUGGUAGUC
Molecule: ribosomal RNA, 464 nt
Filed under: uncultured bacterium
Lineage: Bacteria
Description: partial 16S ribosomal RNA
Rfam family: Bacterial small subunit ribosomal RNA
Source: RNAcentral